AGCGUGGUGCUGACAACACCAAGUCGAGGGUUAAGAUCCCCUUACCGGUCAUCAUUUAAAAAAAAAAAAAGUUGUUUCCUCCCUGACCCCAGAGGAGCUGGUUCCAGAAGGUUAGCAUCAAUCCUAAAUUAAGUUUAUGUGUUGCAUUUACUUUCACACACAACAAAUAUAUAUAUAUAUAAAUAUAAAUAAUACAAAAUAAAAACCCUUCUGGGGUUUCUAAUGGCGGUUGAAAUAGUCCCACAUGUGGUCAUCAGAAAAUAAGCCAUUCCUUACACCAGUAUGGGAUAAGCUCUUCGACUUCUAAGAGGUAGGAGUGCAUCCUGCUGUGUGUUUUAGAAUCCUUUCCCUGCCUUGUUUGUGGCAGUGAAAUGCCUCUUGUUCAUGUCCAAGUGUGUCUGACUGUAUCUGAUUUCUGAAUCAUGUUCCAGUUGCUUGGUCCUGCCACAUGGGUCCAGUAUUCAUUUUGAGCAUAACUGUACUAAAACUUUUUUCCAGCGUAAUAAAGGAGUGAUGUGCAAUAUU
Galeopterus variegatus (Sunda flying lemur) is the source of this 525-nucleotide long non-coding RNA. RefSeq lists it as uncharacterized. The transcript has 2 exons. The record is from RefSeq and is a predicted model, not a curated record. NCBI's taxonomy places the organism in Eukaryota, Metazoa, Chordata, Mammalia, Dermoptera, Cynocephalidae.